This 236-nucleotide long non-coding RNA is filed under the name Rattus norvegicus (Norway rat). RNAcentral describes it as "long non-coding RNA NONRATT033868". The record is from RNAcentral. Lineage: Eukaryota; Metazoa; Chordata; Mammalia; Rodentia; Muridae.
CACCUAGGCAGGAAGCCCAAACAAGGUCUGAAGUGCUCCCAGUUCCCCAGCUCCUAUGGAUCCCUGGGCUGGAUGCUGUUCUCUUGGUUUGGAAGUACACUGACCAACCCAGCUUGCCUUCAUCAGUGGGGAUCCAUCAGCUAAGGCUAAGUAGAACCCGAACAAGGUAGGAGCGCCCCCUCCUGGAUGAGCCUCUGUGAGUCCCUCACUUUUGUCUUUAAAAGGAGCUACUCCGG